AGUGAACGCUGGCGGUAGGCCUAACACAUGCAAGUCGAACGGCAGCACAGUAAGAGCUUGCUCUUACGGGUGGCGAGUGGCGGACGGGUGAGGAAUACAUCGGAAUCUACUUUUUCGUGGGGGAUAACGUAGGGAAACUUACGCUAAUACCGCAUACGACCUACGGGUGAAAGCAGGGGAUCUUCGGACCUUGCGCGAUUGAAUGAGCCGAUGUCAGAUUAGCUAGUUGGCGGGGUAAAGGCCCACCAAGGCGACGAUCCGUAGCUGGUCUGAGAGGAUGAUCAGCCACACUGGAACUGAGACACGGUCCAGACUCCUACGAGAGGCAGCAGUCGGGAAUAUUGGACAAUGGGCGCAAGCCUGAUCCAGCCAUACCGCGUGGGUGAAGAAGGCCUUCGGGUUGUAAAGCCCUUUUGUUGGGAAAGAAAAGCAGCAGGUUAAUACCCCGCUGUUCUGACGGUACCCAAAGAAUAAGCACCGGCUAACUUCGUG
RNAcentral lists this ribosomal RNA (492 nucleotides) under uncultured bacterium. Its description in RNAcentral is "partial 16S ribosomal RNA". It matches the Rfam family "Bacterial small subunit ribosomal RNA", at positions 29 to 507 of the family's 1533-position model. The record is from RNAcentral.